AGGUUUAGCACUGGAGGGAGCAGAGUUUCUCCAGAUAGAGAUGGCACUUCUCUUGAGCUGCUACUGGUCAUCAGAAACGAUUGGUACCAAAGUGGUGUGAGCUCAGCAGUGCAAGUCCUGCUGCAGAGAGCCAUCCCCAAGCCCUGCAGCUGCUCCAUAAAUAGGUUGGACAUUUGGUGUCGUAAUUCCAGCAGUGCUCAGCAUUGGCUCAGCUCUGCCUUAUUCAAAGUCAGCGGGAACUGCUGACUGUGAGCCAGCACGGCUCUUACAGCCUUUUUCUCUCACUAAUUACUUCUGGCUGCCGUGGAAGCCCCAAGGACUUCAAAGGGACGACACUGGAUUUGCACGAACUAUCUCUCUGGAUCUUCCAUCCCUGUUUCUCAGCCCUUGGUGGUCUAUAAGGCUUCAGAAGGGGACCCACUAAACAACUGCAGAAAACAUUAAAACUUAUUGCACGUUCCCACAAAUGCACAUUCCCACACACACAAAGGCAAGGAAAAUGGAGAGAAAUCAAAGGGCAAGAGGAACAAUGGAAACACAACUUUUUUUUUUUAACUUUUUUUUUUUCUUUGGGGCUGUAAAUGAAGAGGCAUGUGCAGAAGAUAGUUUCUUUUUGCUCUCCAGAAGGUGAAAUGGUUCUUGAGUAAAAUGAGUAAAGGAGCGCAGCCUGCCCUGUGCCAGCAGCACCAGGGGAUGCUGCAGAGGUGGUCCAAAUCCCUGGGCACCAUUGGAUGUCUUUAGUAACGUGCAGGACUGGAGAUCGCUCCAAGCAGACUUUUUGUUGCUUAAAACUAUUAACUCAUCUUCAAAGAACUCUGCGUGUGUCACACCUGAGUGAUUGCAUCGCUGGCACUUAGCCACUCUGUCCCUGGGGCCCCACUCUGAAGCAAAGCAGAGAUGGGCUGCCUUGGCUUUGCUGGGGACGUGCUCUGUGUCCUGCCGGGAAACACAGCACUAAAACCACAGCAAGAAUAAUGGAAUCACAGAAUCAUUCUGGUUGGAAAAGACCUCGCAGAUCCCCAAGUCCAACCCCAACCCACCCCGCCGUGCCCACUGUCCACAUCCCUCAAUGCCACAAACCCACAGUUCUGGAUCACCUCCACGGAUGGUGACUCCACCACCCUCCUGGGCAGCUGUGCCAGUGCUUGACCAAACCUUUUUGGGCCCCAGAUGAGCUUCUGCCCUGUACUCAGAGGAAGCAGGGUGGUGACAGCAUUGUGAUACGCAGUGGCCCCAUGAAUCCUCAUUGUAGAUAGUGGAGACUUUUUUUUUCGUUAGUAGUGCAUUUCUCACCUUCUCUGUGCCUCUUUGGGUGUAAAAUGGGUAUAAUUAACCCUUCCCCGUGUGGAGAUGCAUUAUGUGCAUCUUUUCAUAAGGCAGAGAAGUUUCAUAGCCAGUCAAUGAGCUGAUGGGACGGCUCCAGACAAAGCAAACAAAUGGCAGCAUCAGAUUUCAGACAGAUUCAAGAGGCUUCAGACAGACUUUUCUCCAGCUUACACCCACUGGAUGCUGGGUUUGCUCUAUUUGCUCCACUCCCAAUUUUCUCCCCUUUCAAUGAAUGGGAAAAAAACAACCUGAAUUUUCCACUAAGCCGUUAAGAAAGCAGAGGUUUCACAACAGUCAGGCUGAUCUGCCCACGCUCAUUUGAACAGGCUUUUAGGAACCUUUAGAGACUGGCAAUUCGGGUGGUAAACCCUCUUUAUGACCUGUUAUUACCCGUGCUCUGCUCAGAGGCAGCAGAACUCAUUACGGGCGUAAAUGGCCGGAGUGCUCCUGCAUACCAGCACAGGCUGCCUUUAAUGAUCUCCCUUUUCCUGCUUCUCCCUGAUAAAAAUACCUUACUGGUUAAAAAAAAAAAACCCAACAACCAGAGACCACAGAGCUAGCUGCCAGUUCGCCUCGUGGCUCCCGUUCCUGAGGUUUUAUUUUGCUGCACUUAGUUUUCAGGAAGUCGGCCAGUGUGGCACACUUUGUGUUUUUUUAUUUAACUGCGCAUUAAAUGUUCCCCUUUGCCCCAUGUUUUAUUAGGGAGACGUUAAAGAGAGCCUUGCAAAGCUGGAAACACGGAAGGAAAACAAACAGCCCCAGGACCAGCCCUGUUACAGCAGCCCACUUCUUCAGGCUUGAUGUAACUCUGUCCAUUACAGUUGGCAUAGGGCACGGGAAUAGCAGGCCUCCCUCCAGUAGGAAAUGAGGGAGAAACUAAGGCAGGAAGAGAUCCCAUUUUGUUAUCCCAGCUCCCAUACUCACAGCUGGUUGGGUGUCUGUGCAAGCUGAUCACAUCUGGUGAUGGAGAUCCUCAACAGCCACACACAACCUCUCCCUAUUGCAAAUUUACACUCAAAUAGAAGAUAUUUGGUAUCUCUACCAAGCAGAAUUCCCAAGGCCCAUGGACUCCCAGCCAGCUCUCUCAGCCAUGUUGUGUCACUCCAGAGAAGCUUGAGAACCUUACCCCCGUUAACCUUCAGAGCAUGUCUCCAUACCUACCUGUGCUGGAGUUUCUCAGCAGAAGCACAAGUUGUAGAGGUUGCAUGUAGUCAAUACCGAGAGCACCAUCUGGUGGGCUGCAGGGCUGGAUAACGCAGAGCUGGGGACAGGUUUUGGGAUGCAGAACAGCCCAGAUGAGCGUCUGGUGGGAGGCAUCAAGGAACUGAGGUCCCCCUGGUCUGGCUUCCCCCAGGCACCAAGUGGCAGCCUCAGGGAGAAGGUGGAAAGAAGCCCAUGGCAGGGCUUAGCAAAGCAAGUUUCUGUCUUCAGACAGAUGGAGCUUGAUGUGCUCCAAGAACCGUGAGCCAGAUUGCCCCCAGAAAUGCCUGGAGAAAUCCAUACAUUUGCUCUACUGAACCAAGAUUUAAAAUGCAACUUCAAAAAAGUAGACAAGCCCAAUUGCAUGCCGUGGGCCAUGUUUAAACAUCAAUCUUUUUGUGGGCCCUUUGGCAUAACCUUGGAACACUCGAGCGCUUUAGCUUUUCUUGGCAGCCUGGGCUUUCCCCAGGAUGACGAUCCUCCUUUGAGCUGUAUGAAAGCCCAUUCAGACACAUUAGAUAUGUUCCUGAGCAUUGCAGCUCCAUUGCCUGCCCUGUUUGAGGCUGCCCAUGGGGCUGGCAGAGACAUCCCUCAAUUACCACACUCAGAACAACUUGGGGAGAACUCCACCAGGCCUUUUUUGUGCUGUCACACUAUGAAUAACAGCAGAUAUUGCUCCAUGUGAGCUGUUAGGAAAUGUCUUCUGAGGUGCUUGUGCAACCCGACACAGUCGAGGGCCUCAGCUUGUGGGUGCUGCCAUAUGAGGGAUGCAAUAGC
RNAcentral lists this long non-coding RNA (3303 nucleotides) under Gallus gallus (chicken). The record is from RNAcentral. Lineage: Eukaryota; Metazoa; Chordata; Aves; Galliformes; Phasianidae.